Molecule: long non-coding RNA, 1543 nt
Filed under: Equus asinus (donkey)
Lineage: Eukaryota; Metazoa; Chordata; Mammalia; Perissodactyla; Equidae
Description: lncRNA (ENSEASG00005038081.1)
Source: RNAcentral
GCUCAAGUUGCUGCAGAUAAAUCUGGGAAGUGAAGAAAUACUAGAAACUUCCUUAAGUAGUUUAAGUAAACUCCUUUACUGAGAAGGUCUUAGAAACCCUUCCCUUUGCUGCGCUCCGAAAAUCGCAACCUUGCUGGGCUUCUGGUUGCCGAUCUAGUUUUUGCCCUCCCGCUUCUUCAUUAGGUCCUUGAGAGAGCUGUGAAACACAGAUCUAUCCUGUUCAGUGCUGCGGGCCCGCGCUCUGGAAAGUUUCUGCAUUUCUUUGAGCGGCUGCUUUCCCCACCGAGUUUCCCGGGGCCCGGGCACCCGCAGCCCUCCUCUCUCUGCAGAACGUGAGGGGCGUGAGCAGUCGGGCGGUGGGCUCGUCUCUCCCCGGCUGCUGCCCAUGCAGCCAUCUCUCAUUCUCCUCUCCCUAGUGAGCCCUUCUGGAAGAAAUUGGGCCCUAAGUGUGGUCUCAGCUCUCUCAAGUGAUGGGGAGCCUUGGAGAUGGUUUGAGAACCAAGUUCUGCACGCUAGUAUCCAUUCUCCCAACUGAUAAUGACGCUUCAGUUGCCCGUAAGGAAGACCCUCCUUCCCCCAUUGGAUACAACCUUACUUCGACUGUUACUCAAGGUGUCCUACCCUCCUCUGGCCAGUGGCUCUUUUUGGAAAAUUCCCUACGAGAACCGAAAUUUAAACCCAUUUACUUUAUAAGAAGCAGCAGAAAGAAGACUGGCCCUGAGCUAACAUCCGUGCUCAUCUUCCUCUGUUCUAUAUGUGGGACGCCUGCCACAGCAUGGCUUGACAAGUGGUGUGUAGGUCCGCACCUGGGAUCCAAACCGGUCGCUCUUCCCAGUCUUCAUGCACCUGCAGGGCUGUCAACACUGGGAGGACUGGAAGAAAUUUGUAAAGAGUCUGGGAGUCUUCAGAGAGGAAAAGAGUGCAGACCUGGACUCCUCCUUUUCCAAUGUCUUUAUUAUUAGAAGGUUUUCUAUGCAUUGAGCCGGUUCUGAUUAAGAAAGGAUCUAAUAAGAAGGAACAUUGAAGACCUUAAGCUGUUAGCCCUGCUGUGGCCGGCAUUACCCGAUGGGACAGGCUAUCCGGUCAUGGGCACGACUGGAGGCAGAAGGCCCUCCUGACCCGGCCACUGUGCUCUGUAAACUAAAAAGCUGUUGGCGCGGAUGCCAUGUCUUACCUCUGAGGAGCAGGCUGCUUCUCUCUUGACGAAUCGCUGUGGCCACUAUUGGAAUCUGCAACAGCAAAGGCCAGCGCACACCAGGCGAAAAGGUCACCCUGGCCUGUGGGGGAUCCGUUUUCAUCAGUAAACGGUGCCAGGAGCAGAACACCAGCAGCCUUCAGCUUGUAUUCUCUCAGACUCUCUGGUUUUCUCCCUCUGAGGUGGAUCAAGAGGCCCCCAGAGUUUUUGAACAAUUUGAUAGACAAGAGAGACCUUGGACUCCCUGCUAGUCUGGCAAUUGAGAAGUGGUUUUAAUUUGGAAAAAAUAACAGGUGGGACCUCAUUUUUACCCAAAACUAUUGAAGUAGAUCCUACUAUUACCACAUG